AACGCAUAUUGCGCCCUUUGGUAUUCCGAAGGGCAUGCCUGUUCGAGCGUCAUUAUCAACCAUCAAGCUUGGCUUGUAGUUGGACCUAUUGGCUGGGGGAUGCCCCGACCGGUCCGAAAGAUAAUGAACGGGGGUACUCAGUGGCCUUGGAUGCAACGAGCUUUCUAAGCACGCAUCGAACGGUCGUUAGGCCCCGUCUUUUCCAUAUAAUUCUCUACGGUUGACCUCGGAUCAGGUAGGAAUACCCGCUGAACUUAA
Molecule: unclassified non-coding RNA, 258 nt
Filed under: uncultured Chaetothyriales
Lineage: Eukaryota; Fungi; Ascomycota; Eurotiomycetes; Chaetothyriales
Description: sequence contains 5.8S rRNA gene, ITS2, 28S rRNA gene
Rfam family: 5.8S ribosomal RNA (bases 1-52)
Source: RNAcentral